Molecule: ribosomal RNA, 459 nt
Filed under: uncultured bacterium
Lineage: Bacteria
Description: partial 16S ribosomal RNA
Rfam family: Bacterial small subunit ribosomal RNA
Source: RNAcentral
CCUACGGGAGGCUGCAGUGAGGAAUAUUGGUCAAUGGGAGCGAUCCUGAACCAGCCAAGCCGCGUGAGGGAAGACGGCCCUAUGGUUUGUAAACCUCUUUUGUCGGGGAACAAAACCCGGGACGUGUCCCGACCUGCGUGUAUCCGAAGAAAAAGCAUCGGCUAACUCCGUGCCAGCAGCCGCGGUAAUACGGAGGAUGCGAGGGUUGUCCGGAUUUAUUGGGUUUAAAGGGUGCGUGGGGGGUCCGUUAAGUCAGCGGGAAAAUUGCGGGGCUAAACCCCGUAGAGCCGUGGAAACUGGCAGACUUGAGUGGGCGAGAGGUAGGCGGAAUGCGCGGUGUAGCGGUGAAAUGCAUAGAGAUGGGGAAGAACUCCGAUUGCGAAGGCAGCGUACCGGAGCCAGACUGACGCUGAGGCACGAAAGCGUGGGGAUCGAACAGGAUUAGAUACCCCAGUAGUC